This is a long non-coding RNA of Trifolium pratense (red clover), 474 nucleotides long. RefSeq lists it as uncharacterized. The transcript is spliced from 2 exons. The record is from RefSeq and is a predicted model, not a curated record. NCBI's taxonomy places the organism in Eukaryota, Viridiplantae, Streptophyta, Magnoliopsida, Fabales, Fabaceae.
ACACCUCACUCACCGCUGCCUAUAUUCAAUUCAAACCCAUCAUCCAUGUCUCUUGCAUCAUAAGCAAUUCUACUUUCAUCCUCAUAUCAGAUCUAAUUAUGAUAGUGAAACAAGUGAAGAUUUUUACGAUUUGUUCCGGUGAAAUGCUCAUUGUUGAUGAGUUUGCUACAACCGUGAUUUCUUUGAUUAGCCAACACAAUAUACCAAGUCUUUUUUGUGGCAUUAUUUAAUAUAAUUAUUUGAUUUAAGGGAAAGGAAAGAUAAUUUAUAUUAAAUAAUGUUGUGGGAAGAUUUUUGCUACAUUCAAAUGAAAAAAAAUUGAUGAAGGGUUUGGGUAGUAAGCGAUAGAUCCUGGGUUCGAUCCCCAAUUCAUUGUAAACAAAAAGAAAAAUGCAAAAAAAAUAAAAAACUAAAAUAGAAUUUUCACUGCGAUUUUUUCAACUGACAAAUUCAGAAUUAUACUUGAGUGAUUAA